UCUGUGCGACCGCUGUUGGACAGUGAAAAUAGCACCAUCUACCUAGAUGUGGACGAAGAAGAUAGUGGCAAUACUGUUGAUGGCUUCACUCAACAGAUCUUUAGUGAUCAUAGCUCCAUUCAAUCCAAUGUUGGUUUACCUCUUCCAUUGGAAACUGAGCAUUCUGUUUACGUCGAUGCUCAAGAAGAUAUGCAAAACGGUGUGGAUGCCUUGAAUCGAAGGGAUAUAAUCGUGGAAAGGAGUUUGCUUAUCAUAAAUUUCGCAGUGGAGCUUCCAUCAGCCGUUUUUGAUCAGCUAUCAUCAGUGCACAAACCCCAAUAUGCACUGCUUAGUAUGUUAAUGUCAUUAGCAACCAUGCUGUUCUCCAUCAUUGACCUUGCUGAUAAGGGUAGAAAAGAAAGAGUUGAAUGGAUGGUGAGAGGUUAUUUACCUUGGUUUUACUCCCCAUAUCCAACAAUGUCUGAGUAUGUCCCCAGAGGCUUGUAAUUUGGAUAUGGGGAGUAAAACCAAGGUAAA
Molecule: unclassified non-coding RNA, 516 nt
Filed under: Hevea brasiliensis (rubber tree)
Lineage: Eukaryota; Viridiplantae; Streptophyta; Magnoliopsida; Malpighiales; Euphorbiaceae
Source: RNAcentral